This 428-nucleotide ribosomal RNA is filed under the name uncultured bacterium. RNAcentral's name for it is "bacterial SSU rRNA". It matches the Rfam family "Bacterial small subunit ribosomal RNA", at positions 355 to 776 of the family's 1533-position model. The record is from RNAcentral.
UUUCGAAUCAUUCACAAUGGGCGAAAGCCAGAUGGUGCGACGCCGCGUGGGGGACGAAGGUCUUCGGAUUGUAAACCCCUGUCACCGGGGACAAAACGUUGCUUGUUAAUAGCGAGCGACCUGAUUUAACCCGGAGAGGAAGCAGUGGCUAACUCUGUGCCAGCAGCCGCGGUAAUACAGAGACUGCAAGCGUUGUUCGGAUUCACUGGGCGUAAAGGGUGCGCAGGCGGCCGGGUGUGUCGGGUGUGAAAGCUCGAGGCUUAACCUCGAAACUGCGCCCGAAACUAUCCGGCUAGAGUACUGGAGAGGGAAGCGGAAUUCACGGUGUAGCAGUGAAAUGCGUAGAUAUCGUGAGGAACACCAAUGGCGAAGGCAGCUUCCUGGACAGUUACUGACGCUCAGGCACGAAAGCGUGGGGAGCAAAAGGG